AGUAUCUCUACUUGCACAUUCAUCUUCUGAACAUCUAUCACUCCAGUGUUUAAUUGCUCGAUUGUAAUUAUUUCACCACUAUGGCCUAUUUAUUGCCUUACCUCUCUUAUCCUAACUCAUUUGCACAUGCUGUAUAUAGGUUUUUCUAUUGUGUUAUUGACUGUACAUUUGUUUAUCCCAUGUGUAACUGUUUUUUUUUGUCACGCUGCUUUGCUUUAUCUUGGCCAGGUCCCAGUUGUAAAUGAGAACUUGUUCUCAACUGGCCUACCUGGUGAAAUAAAAUUUAAAAAAUGUCUCGAGGCUUAAAAUGAACCUGUCUCCUCUUCAUCUACACUGAUUGAAGUGGAUUUAAUAAGUGAUAACAAGGGAUCAUAGCUUUCACCUGGGUUCAUCUAUUCAGUCUAUGUCAUAGAAAGAGCAGGUGUUCUUAAGUUUGCAUACUCAGUGUAUGUGGUUCUCUAACUCUCACACAAAUGUUUCAGAUGGACCACAUAUAUAUUUAGUUAUUGGAUGGUUCUCCCAUUGAUCGGGUUCCCUCCUAUAAAUAUCUGGGCUUUUGGAUUGACUAAGAUUUAAAGUACAUGGAUGAGCUAGUUAAAAAGCUAAGCUUUAAAGUGGGCUUCUGUGUGGGCUUCUUUUUUAGAACUAGAUCUGGCCUGUCCCUAAAUAGCAGGAACCAGAUUGUACAAUACAUUCCAUGCCUUUUUUUGACUAUGGGGAAACCAUUUACCAGAAUGUAAGACUACUCUUAAAUCUUUGGUAUGCUGUGGGUGAUGUAGUAGAAUAAAUAUUACACCACCACAGUUCCUUCUUUUACAAUUUUGUUUUAUGAUGAGUUCUUUUCAGUUAUGUUUGUUCUCCCUGUUGUGAAGGUUUGGAGUCCCUGGGUGGCAUGGUGCCCACCUGGUGUAGGAUAGGAGUAGCUGAGAGGACCAGACGGUUUAGAAUAAUGCUUUGCUCUGCUUUACUCUGUUUUCCAUGACCAAAGUUUUAUCCUAUAUCUUCCAUGUCAAUAAACAAUAAAGUUGUAUCUGUUAUGGGUGUCAAAAGGGGGAGACAAAAGCAUACAUCACUUGAUUUUUUUUUUCUCUAUUUUUCUUAGUUGAUUUCUUUUCUGUAAUAAAUAAUAAUAAUGUUUUAUUAAAUGCUAUUAACAUAUUACUAUGUUGGGACCACUGAAAUAAAGGAUAAUGAGUGACACCCUAGGGGGUGUCAAAAGGGGGACUUAAAUGUAACACCAUUUUCUUUUAUUCGGUUUUUAAAUGAGCUGCUGUUCUCUUUUGACAUGAGGGUUUUAAGUUCCUAGGUGGCUGGUAGCCAAUCUAGUACAUAGUGGGAUCGAAUGGAGGACAUGAAGGUAUUUUAAACUUUGUAACUGUUAUAUGAUUAUGAUGCUGAAUUUUUAUUCACACCCUUGGGAGUGUGAAAAAGGGGGAUUGUGGGAUUCUGUGUUUUACAUUAUAGCCAUUACCAUAUAUAUGAUUAAAUAUUAUCUGAUGUUGGCUGUGUGAGGUAUCUGCAUUUAUGCACUUGAGCAGCAUCAUGAGAUUAAACAACUGCUUGCUACA
This is a long non-coding RNA of Oncorhynchus tshawytscha (Chinook salmon), 1568 nucleotides long. Lineage: Eukaryota; Metazoa; Chordata; Actinopteri; Salmoniformes; Salmonidae. The record is from Ensembl.